Molecule: unclassified non-coding RNA, 209 nt
Filed under: uncultured Rhizophydium
Lineage: Eukaryota; Fungi; Chytridiomycota; Chytridiomycetes; Rhizophydiales; Rhizophydiaceae
Description: sequence contains ITS1
Source: RNAcentral
UAAAAUAAUGGUUGGCGCACCUAGUGAAUGAGUCCGGUUUUUCGACUGGGCACUGCAACUGGGCGCGCUGCUACACCUCUGUGCACUGUAAUAGUAUCGGGUUUAGGUAACGCAGUCUCUCGGGAUAGCGAAACCUAGGCCCAAAAACGGUUUCGACCGUAUAAACAACUUUUAAUUUUGACUGACUUUUGUUUCUAACGAAUCAAAAA